GGUGCUUAGGCACUGGUGAUUACCCUGAGCAGUAUGUUUUAAAAUGGAUUGAACGAGAGAGUUUGAUCCUGGCUCAGAUUGAACGCUGGCGGCAUGCCUAACACAUGCAAGUCGAACGGUAGCAGGCCUUCGGGUGCUGACGAGUGGCGGACGGGUGAGUAAUGCGUAGGAAUCUGUCUUUUAGUGGGGGGACAACCCAGGGAAACUUGGGCUAAUACCGCAUGAGCCCUGAGGGGGAAAGCGGGGGAUCUUCGGACCUCGCGCUAAGAGAAGAGCCUACGUCUGAUUAGCUAGUUGGUAGGGUAAAGGCCUACCAAGGCGACGAUCAGUAGCUGGUCUGAGAGGACGACCAGCCACACUGGGACUGAGACACGGCCCAGACUCCUACGGGAGGCAGCAGUGGGGAAUUUUUCGCAAUGGGGGCAACCCUGACGAAGCA
This 439-nucleotide ribosomal RNA is filed under the name uncultured bacterium. Its description in RNAcentral is "bacterial SSU rRNA". The stretch from base 51 to 439 matches the Rfam family "Bacterial small subunit ribosomal RNA", at positions 1 to 393 of the family's 1533-position model. The record is from RNAcentral.